RNAcentral lists this ribosomal RNA (253 nucleotides) under uncultured bacterium. RNAcentral's name for it is "partial 16S ribosomal RNA". It matches the Rfam family "Bacterial small subunit ribosomal RNA", at positions 524 to 776 of the family's 1533-position model. The record is from RNAcentral.
GACGAACUGUCCUAACGUUGUUCGGAAUCACUGGGCUUAAAGGGCGCGUAGGCGGUCCGACAAGUCAGGGGUGAAAUCCUGGAGCUCAACUCCAGAACUGCCUUUGAUACUGAAGAUCUUGAGUCCGGGAGAGGUGAGUGGAACUGCGAGUGUAGAGGUGAAAUUCGUAGAUAUUCGCAAGAACACCAGUGGCGAAGGCGGCUCACUGGCCCGGUACUGACGCUGAGGCACGAAAGCGUGGGGAGCAAACAGG